This 442-nucleotide ribosomal RNA is filed under the name Penaeus vannamei (Pacific white shrimp). RNAcentral describes it as "partial 16S ribosomal RNA". It matches the Rfam family "Bacterial large subunit ribosomal RNA", at positions 1955 to 2597 of the family's 2925-position model. Lineage: Eukaryota; Metazoa; Arthropoda; Malacostraca; Decapoda; Penaeidae. The record is from RNAcentral.
GGUAGCAUAAUCAUUAGUCUUUUAAUUGGAGGCUCGUAUGAAUGGUUGGACAAAAAGCAAACUGUCUCAAUUAUAUUUAUUGAAUUUAACUUUUAAGUGAAAAGGCUUAAAUAAAUUAAGGGGACGAUAAGACCCUAUAAAGCUUUACAAUAAGUUACCUAUAUUAUAAAUUGUUAGUAUAACUUGAGUUUAGGUAACGUUUGUUGCGUUGGGGCGACGAGAAUAUAAUAAGUAACUGUUCUUAAGUUAUUUAAUGACAGAAAUUUCUGGAAAAUUAAUGAUCCUCUACUAGAGAUCAUAAGAUUAAGUUACUUUAGGGAUAACAGCGUAAUCUUCUUUGAGAGUCCACAUCGACAGGAAGGGUUGCGACCUCGAUGUUGAAUUAAGGGUUCCUUAUAAUGCAGCAGUUAUAAAGGAGGGUCUGUUCGACCUUUAAAUCCUU